ACAGUCGGUGUGAUGUCUGGUUACACAGAUCCUUCCCUCGUCUCUAGUACUAGCGCUCUCAGCACAUCCCAGUAUUACUGAUAAGGCUGUUCUGAGAACUGCUUGGACAAGCCUUUUCACAGUGGCUGGAAGCAGGAUGAAGUCACUGUAUUUUAUAUAAACCCGACUUUGAUGCCUGGAGAGCCUGUGGUUGUGUAGCUGCUAUCAUAGGAGCUGGUGUUGAAAGAUGAGAGAUGUGAGGAAGGGAUAUCAGCAUACGCUGACGAGGACUCUCUAAAGUGGAGAAUGGUGAGAGGACGCUCUUUGUUUACAUCCCUGUUAGGGAGCAUUUCUCCUUCGCCAAGAUAAUCUAUCCACCUGACAGGUGUGGCAUAUCAAGACGUUGAUUUAAACAGCAUGGUCAUUACACAGGUAUACCGUGUGCUGGGGACAAUAAAUUGCCACUCUGAAAUGUACAAUUUUGUCACGCAAUGCCACAGAUGUCUCAAGUUUUGAGGGAGCGUGCAAUUGGUAUGUUGACUGCAGGAAUGUCCACCAAGAUGUUGCCAGAUAAUUUAAUGCUAAUUUCUCUACCAUAUCCCACAUCCAACGAC
Oncorhynchus tshawytscha (Chinook salmon) is the source of this 593-nucleotide long non-coding RNA. Lineage: Eukaryota; Metazoa; Chordata; Actinopteri; Salmoniformes; Salmonidae. The record is from Ensembl.